Non-coding RNA from Podarcis lilfordi (Lilford's wall lizard), 89 nucleotides. NCBI's taxonomy places the organism in Eukaryota, Metazoa, Chordata, Lepidosauria, Squamata, Lacertidae. The record is from the annotation of a GenBank genome assembly.
GUUAGCUGGUGCCUUCAUCUUUGAUAAAGUUCAGGCACCAGAUGAGGAAAGAUGCUUGGACUCCAUCAAAGCUGAAAGCACCAGCUAAC